GUGAACGCUGGCGGCGUGCCUAAUACCUGCAAGUCGAGCGAACGGACGAGAAGCUUGCUUCUCUGAUGUUAGCGGCGGACGGGUGAGUAACACGUGGAUAACCUACCUAUAAGACUGGGAUAACUUCGGGAAACCGGAGCUAAUACCGGAUAAUAUUUUGAACCGCAUGGUUCCAAAGUGAAAGACGGUCUUGCUGUCACUUAUAGAUGGAUCCGCGCUGCAUUAGCUAGUUGGUAAGGUAACGGCUUACCAAGGCAACGAUGCAUAGCCGACCUGAGAGGGUGAUCGGCCACACUGGAACUGAGACACGGUCCAGACUCCUACGGGAGGCAGCAGUAGGGAAUCUUCCGCAAUGGGCGAAAGCCUGACGGAGCAACGCCGCGUGAGUGAUGAAGGUCUUCGGAUCGUAAAACUCUGUUAUUAGGGAAGAACAUAUGUGUAAGUAACUGUGCACAUCUUGACGGUACCUAAUCAGAAAGCCACGGCUAACUACGUG
RNAcentral lists this ribosomal RNA (496 nucleotides) under uncultured bacterium. RNAcentral's name for it is "partial 16S ribosomal RNA". It matches the Rfam family "Bacterial small subunit ribosomal RNA", at positions 29 to 507 of the family's 1533-position model. The record is from RNAcentral.